GUGCUUGCUCUGGCAGCACGUAUACUAAACUUGGAACGAUACAGAGAAGAUUAGCAUGGCCCUGCACAAGGAUGACAUGCAAAUUCGUGAAAUGUUCCAUAUUUUU
RNAcentral lists this small nuclear RNA (106 nucleotides) under Heterocephalus glaber (naked mole-rat). Lineage: Eukaryota; Metazoa; Chordata; Mammalia; Rodentia; Bathyergidae. The record is from RNAcentral.